Molecule: non-coding RNA, 784 nt
Filed under: Palaestes scutellaris
Lineage: Eukaryota; Metazoa; Arthropoda; Insecta; Coleoptera; Cucujidae
Source: RNAcentral
UUAAAGUUUUAUUUUGACUUAAAAAUUAAAUAUAAUUUUAAUUUAUAUAUAAGUUUUAGUGAAAUAUUUUAGAAAUUUUAAAUAAGUUUUUAAUUUAAAUUUUAGUAAUAAUUAGUUUUAAAUAUUAAAGAAAUUUAGAAUUAGUAAUAAUUAUAAAUAUUAACUAAAUUUGUGCCAGCAGUUGCGGUUAUACAAAUAAUGUAAUUUAAUUUUUUUAGUUUUAAUUAAUUUAAAUAAUUAAAGAUUUUAUUUUAAGAUUUAUUAGGUGAAAUUUUAAAUUUUAUAAUAAUUUUAUUAAAAUUAAUGAUUUAAGAAAUUUUAUUUUUAAACUAGGAUUAGAUACCCUAUUAUUUUUAAUGUAAAAAAUUUUGAGCUAGAUUAGUAUUAGAUAUGUUCUUGAAAAUUAAAAAAUUUGGCGGUAUUUUAGUCUAUUCAGAGGAAUCUGUUCUAUAAUCGAUAAUCCACGAUUAAAUUUACUUGUUUUUUUAGUUUGUAUAUCGUCGUAGAUUAAAUAUUUUAUUAGAAUAUUAAUAUUUAAAAUGUUUAAUUGAUAAAGUAAAUCAGAUCAAGGUGCAGCUUAUAAAUAAGGAGAAAUGGAUUACAAUAAAUAAAUUUAAAUGGAUAAAUAUUUUUAAAGUUUUUUGAAAUUGGAUUUGAAAGUAAUUUUUAUUUUAUAAUAAAAAUGAUUUAAGCUCUAAAAUAUGUACAUAUCGCCCGUCGCUUUCAUUAUAAAGUGAAAUAAGUCGUAACAAAGUAGGCCUACGGGAAUGUGGGCCUGGAAUGA